UACGUAGGGGGCAAGCGUUAUCCGGAAUUACUGGGUGUAAAGGGAGCGUAGACGGUAAUGUAAGUCUGGAGUGAAAGGCGGGGGCCCAACCCCCGGACUGCUCUGGAAACUAUGUUACUAGAGUGCAGGAGAGGUCAGCGGAAUUCCUAGUGUAGCGGUGAAAUGCGUAGAUAUUAGGAGGAACACCAGUGGCGAAGGCGGCUUACUGGACUGUAACUGACGUUGAGGCUCGAAAGCGUGGGGAGCAAACAGG
RNAcentral lists this ribosomal RNA (253 nucleotides) under uncultured bacterium. RNAcentral describes it as "partial 16S ribosomal RNA". It matches the Rfam family "Bacterial small subunit ribosomal RNA", at positions 524 to 776 of the family's 1533-position model. The record is from RNAcentral.